RNAcentral lists this transfer RNA (72 nucleotides) under Blastopirellula sp. Its description in RNAcentral is "tRNA-Cys". It matches the Rfam family "tRNA". From Rfam's summary of the family: Transfer RNA (tRNA) molecules are approximately 80 nucleotides in length. Their secondary structure includes four short double-helical elements and three loops (D, anti-codon, and T loops). The record is from RNAcentral. Lineage: Bacteria; Pseudomonadati; Planctomycetota; Planctomycetia; Pirellulales; Pirellulaceae.
GACGCGGAUGCCCAAUGGCUAGGCGGCUGCCUGCAAAGCAGCUUUUAGUGAGUUCGAUUCUCACCUGCGUCU